UGGAUCUGAGUAAAAUUGUGAUCAAGGGCAAUAGAAUUAUCAUCAAAUAGUUUUAUCUAUACCUUAUUGGCCAAUAAUCAAGGAUUGGAUAAAAAUAUUGAUGUUACAGAAUGAAUCUAGUGCCAAAUUUAUAGUCACUAUGUGGUUGCACUUAAGAUAGGAUGCUCACUAGUGACAAACUGUCAAGUUGAGGCAUAGAUAUGAAAAGAAAGUGUGUCCUUUGUCAAGAAUAAGAUGAAAACAGAAAUAACCUAUUUACUGAAUGUACUUUCAUGAGGGAUGUAUAGUGAAGAUUAGAGAUCUAAAAUCAAUCUUAUAGGAUAAUGUCGUGGCAAUAACAUCUCAACUAGGUGUUGAGAAACACAAAAGAAAAGAGAUACGACAGGAAGGAUCUUCAAAACGGUCUAUGUUGAGACAAUUCAUGAGGUAUGGGAAGAGACAGACUUGUGCAUCUUUCAGAAGAAGACUAAAAGAGUUAAAGCUAUUGCUAGACGCAUAGCAUACACUUACAAUGUACGAUCAAAUAUAAAAGAUAAGAUCAUAUCUUAGAAAUUAUAGAUUCUAAAAUAAUGUAUCCAAUUUCUAACUUAAGGCAGGUUGUUAGAAGAAGGAGUACACAUGAGUGGCCCUCCCUAGGAUGUAUGAUCCUAUUGUAGAUUAAGCGAGAAAACUCGUGAAUGAAUUUUAUAUUGAAUAGCUGGUUAUGAGGAUUAGGAUCAUAAAGAAUAGUGUAAUUUUUGUGAUGAUGAGACAACAAGUUGUGAUGGCUUUGUUGUAGUAUUGUAAAGUUUCUACUUGAUGAUUAAUAAAAUCUCUUAGUUACCCA
RNAcentral lists this long non-coding RNA (826 nucleotides) under Capsicum annuum. RNAcentral describes it as "long non-coding RNA (CANN_LNC008497)". The record is from RNAcentral. Lineage: Eukaryota; Viridiplantae; Streptophyta; Magnoliopsida; Solanales; Solanaceae.